CCCUUAGAUGUCCGGGGCUGCACGCGCGCUACACUGAAGGAAUCAGCGUGCUAAAACCAUUGUCGAAAGGCAUUGGUAAACCCAUUAAAAUCCUACGUGAUUGGGAUCGGGAAUUUCAAUUAUUUCCCUUGAACGAGGAAUUCCCAGUAAGUGUGGGUCAUAAGCUCGCGUUGAUUACGUCCCUGCCCUUUGUACACACCGCCCGUCGCUGCCCGGGACUGAGCCGUUUCGAGAAAAGCGGGGACUGCUGCUGUCGGGGCUUUCGGGCCUUGGCUUCGGUGGAAACCGCUUUAAUCGCAGUGGCUUGAACCGGGCAAAAGUCGUAACA
This 328-nucleotide ribosomal RNA is filed under the name uncultured eukaryote. RNAcentral's name for it is "partial 18S ribosomal RNA". It matches the Rfam family "Eukaryotic small subunit ribosomal RNA", at positions 1470 to 1796 of the family's 1831-position model. The record is from RNAcentral.